RNAcentral lists this ribosomal RNA (500 nucleotides) under uncultured bacterium. RNAcentral's name for it is "partial 16S ribosomal RNA". It matches the Rfam family "Bacterial small subunit ribosomal RNA", at positions 30 to 523 of the family's 1533-position model. The record is from RNAcentral.
AUUGAACGCUGGCGGCAUGCCUUACACAUGCAAGUCGAACGGCAGCACGGGAGCAAUCCUGGUGGCGAGUGGCGAACGGGUGAGUAAUAUAUCGGAACGUGCCCAGUCGUGGGGGAUAACGUAGCGAAAGCCACGCUAAUACCGCAUACGAUCUAUGGAUGAAAGCGGGGGAUCGCAAGACCUCGCGCGAUUGGAGCGGCCGAUAUCAGAUUAGGUAGUUGGUGAGGGAAAGGCUCACCAAGCCGACGAUCUGUAGCUGGUCUGAGAGGACGACCGGCCACACUGGGACUGAGACACGGCCCAGGCUCAUACGGGAGGCAGCAGUGGGGAAUUUUGGACAAUGGGCGCAAGCCUGAUCCAGCAAUGCCGCGUGCAGGAUGAAGGCCUUCGGGUUGUAAACUGCUUUUGUACGGAACGAAACGGCAAGCUCUAAUACAGUUUGCUAAUGACGGUACCGUAAGAAUAAGCACCGGCUAACUACGUGCCAGCCGCCGCCGUAA